Molecule: ribosomal RNA, 487 nt
Filed under: uncultured archaeon
Lineage: Archaea
Description: bacterial SSU rRNA
Rfam family: Archaeal small subunit ribosomal RNA
Source: RNAcentral
GAGGAAUUGGCGGGGGAGCACCGCAACGGGAGGAGCGUGCGGUUUAAUUGGAUUCAACACCGGAAAACUCACCAAGGGCGACUGUUACAUGAAGGCCAGGCCGACGACCUUGCCGGAUUUUCAGAGAGGUGGUGCAUGCCCGUCGUCAGUUGGUACCGUAAGGCGUUCUCUUAAGUGAGAUAACGACGAGACCCUCACCGAUAAUCGCUACUUCUUCUUCCGGGGAGGAGGCACAUUAUCGGGACCCCUGACGCUAAGCCAGAGGAACGAGAGGUCGACGGUAGGUCAGUAUGCCCCGAAUCUUUGGGCUACACGCGCGCUACAAAGGGCGGGACAAUGGGCUCAGCCGCCGAGAGGCCGAGGCAAUCCCGAAACCCGUCCGUAGUUCGGAUUGAGGGCUGUAACCCGCCCUCAUGAAGAUGGAUUCCGUAGUAAUCGCGAAUCAACAACUUGCGGCGAAUAUGCCCCUGCUCCUUGCCCACACCGC